This 71-nucleotide transfer RNA is filed under the name Loxodonta africana (African savanna elephant). It matches the Rfam family "tRNA". Rfam says of the family: Transfer RNA (tRNA) molecules are approximately 80 nucleotides in length. Their secondary structure includes four short double-helical elements and three loops (D, anti-codon, and T loops). The record is from Rfam by way of RNAcentral. Lineage: Eukaryota; Metazoa; Chordata; Mammalia; Proboscidea; Elephantidae.
GCAUGGGUGGUUCAGUGCUAGGAUUUUCACCUUCCACGUGGAAGACCCAGGUUUGAGUCCUGGCUAAUGCA